Molecule: ribosomal RNA, 633 nt
Filed under: Salmonella enterica
Lineage: Bacteria; Pseudomonadati; Pseudomonadota; Gammaproteobacteria; Enterobacterales; Enterobacteriaceae
Also listed under: 1 other name
Description: partial 23S ribosomal RNA
Rfam family: Bacterial large subunit ribosomal RNA
Source: RNAcentral
GCCAGUCUGCAUGGAGCCGACCUUGAAAUACCACCCUUUAAUGUUUGAUGUUCUAACGUGGACCCGUUACCCGGGUUGCGGACAGUGUCUGGUGGGUAGUUUGACUGGGGCGGUCUCCUCCUAAAGAGUAACGGAGGAGCACGAAGGUUGGCUAAUCCUGGUCGGACAUCAGGAGGUUAGUGCAAUGGCAUAAGCCAGCUUGACUGCGAGCGUGACGGCGCGAGCAGGUGCGAAAGCAGGUCAUAGUGAUCCGGUGGUUCUGAAUGGAAGGGCCAUCGCUCAACGGAUAAAAGGUACUCCGGGGAUAACAGGCUGAUACCGCCCAAGAGUUCAUAUCGACGGCGGUGUUUGGCACCUCGAUGUCGGCUCAUCACAUCCUGGGGCUGAAGUAGGUCCCAAGGGUAUGGCUGUUCGCCAUUUAAAGUGGUACGCGAGCUGGGUUUAGAACGUCGUGAGACAGUUCGGUCCCUAUCUGCCGUGGGCGCUGGAGAACUGAGGGGGGCUGCUCCUAGUACGAGAGGACCGGAGUGGACGCAUCACUGGUGUUCGGGUUGUCAUGCCAAUGGCACUGCCCGGUAGCUAAAUGCGGAAGAGAUAAGUGCUGAAAGCAUCUAAGCACGAAACUUGCCCCGA